UGUGUAGGCGGUUUGGUAAGUCUGGUGUGAAAUCUCCCGGCUCAACUGGGAGGGUGCGCCGGAAACUGCCGGACUCGAGUGCGGGAGAGGAGAGUGGAAUUCCUGGUGUAGCGGUGAAAUGCGUAGAUAUCAGGAGGAACACCGGUGGUGUAGACGGCUCUCUGGACCGUAACUGACGCUGAAACACGAAAGCGUGGGUAGCAAACAGGAUUAGAUACCCUGGUAGUCCACGCCCUAAACGAUGCAUAUUUGGUGUGGGUCAUUCAGUUGAUCCGUGCCGGAGCUAACGCGUUAAAUAUGCCGCCUGGGAGUACAGUCGCAAGGCUGAA
This 329-nucleotide ribosomal RNA is filed under the name uncultured bacterium. RNAcentral's name for it is "bacterial SSU rRNA". It matches the Rfam family "Bacterial small subunit ribosomal RNA", at positions 568 to 898 of the family's 1533-position model. The record is from RNAcentral.